Oreochromis niloticus (Nile tilapia) is the source of this 4822-nucleotide long non-coding RNA. The record is from Ensembl. NCBI's taxonomy places the organism in Eukaryota, Metazoa, Chordata, Actinopteri, Cichliformes, Cichlidae.
AUGCAUUUGCAGAGAUUGAGAUGUAAAGUGACCGCGUGCAUGUCUGAGGGGGAGAGCUCCAGGGCAGAUGGCUGUCUCUACAUGUUGACCUACCUGCGUAUCAUGGCUGAUGAGGACAAACUCACUGAAGUGGAAAGGAGUUGCCUGUCAGUGAGACUGGAUUAUCUGAUGGAGACAGUUUUAUGUUCCAACAACCAGAAGCAGACUGCCGGCCCUUAGGACUAAAGCAUGAUGUUUCAGCUCUGAGUGAAUUAUGUAUUAAAGAGGCAGAUGCCUCCUUGCCCAAGGCUUUAUAUGUCCAGCAUGGAUACACUACAGUCUACUGGCUUUCUUCCACUUAAACUUGUGUUUAGCACAGUGCUCUUUGGUGAUGAGCUAGACUCCCACUGCACCUCCACUCAGCACUGCAUUGCCUGGAGAACAGAGGCAUAGUUAGGCUAAUCAGUGUCUUGGCAUCAAGCCUACUUGGCUAUUCUGGAUGUAGCCAGCCACUGACUUGCACAAGUAAGAGAUUUAACUCAUUGCUGAAGGCAAUAUGAUCUGUUCUGUGGUUUAUUUCAAGAAACUGAGACCAGAGCGACACCCUUUCAGAACAUAAUCUGGUUAAGGUUGCAGUACUCGAAUGAUUAUUAAUCUUAUUCACUUUCAUUGUUGGGUUGUUAAUACUAUUUCAUAAUGCCCGAAGCCUGAAAUACUUUCAUCAUCGAUUAAUUUUUCAAUUUGACGACGCAGAGAAGGGUAUAUUCUUUUUCAUCGCUUACUCCCAGCUCCAGGAAUAUCAGUUUGCUUUUAAUGGAUCAUCCUGUCUGUAAAAUGUCAGAAAAGAAUAACAAAAAAAAAACCAAAGUCUCAUUGAAGUUCUCCAAAGAACAUUGUUUUGCCAUUAUUGCUUAUUUGUUUCUAACCAACAGACCAAAGUUUGACAGUAUUUAAUUUUCAAAGUGAUAAUUGAUCCCCUCCAUUAAAAUGACUGACUCUACUGUGGACACUAACUGAAAAAGGUAAUUUAUUCUUCUAGUUGUACAUGUGCAUUUUGUCUGAAACCUGUAUUUUCAGUUUAUUAAUUUAGUGCAAGCAUAGCCUUUAAUAAUCUUUGGCAUCAGUUUAUUAUAACACAAUUACACUCUCUUCAGCUUUGAGCAUGAGAGCGGUGCAUGCUGAUUUCCCUCUCUGGACCGUUUGGUCGUUCUCUGUUUUUAACGGUUAAAUAUAAUUAAUUGGCUAAGGCUAAGAUUGUGUUAGUUAAUCAUAUUCUGUUAGCCCUCUGAAACAGGGAUGGAAGCCAUUACCUGCACAUGCCUUUACUUUCCUCUUUACAACACAGUCUUAAUUAAAACUCUUGGCACCAAUUGUCUUCGCUGCCUCUGUUCAUAGUUGGCAGUGAAGACGCCAAGAUGCCACAGAAAUCUGGCACUGGCUCGGGGCAGGAAGUCUUCAAGUCAGCCUACUUUGGGUCAAAGCCAAGAAGGGGUGAAAUCCAGCGUCGCCUACUCAGAAAUGUUCCCAAUACUUGGAUAUGAGCCCUCUCCUUCCUGUGUCAUUGGGAACCCAUAUGCUUGUUAGAGAGUGUGGGUUAUUUGCUGAGAGGGGAGGGAGAACCAAAGGAGGUGCUUUCCCAGACAGACAUAGAUCUCCCUAGGGUGUUCUUGUGGCUUCUCUGGAUUCCUCUACUUCUAACUGUGCUGGGCAGAAUGGGGUGCAGGGAUAAAUUGCACAACACCACGAGGUUGUGAGUGAUGGCUAAAAUGCUAGGGCCAAAGAAAUACGGAAAGGUAUUAAAGAAAUAAUUGGGGGGGGGGAGAAAGUGUCCCUUUCCUUAUUGAAAGAAAUUCCAGAGCAGUUUCUAACCAUGCAAAAUAACAGGCACAAAGCUCUGACUUGUUGUUCAUGUGGUGCUCUGCCUUGCUUGUGGCUGACUGAGGUGAUUAUUGCUGUGCAGAACAUGCUGUUCUAGGAUCAGCCAUCCAGUGCUUUAAGCCAGCCUUGCUGCCUCUGGUAUGUCUGGUAUGGGGACAACUUAGCCGUCAGCCUGGAAGGGACUGAAGUUGUAGUUUUUAAACUUGUGCUGCCAGAGCCUUUGUCUUUGACUCUUAGUUCUUCCCUUUUCUCUUUUUCUCUUGAGACUCACUCCUGCUGUGGGUCUCUGGAUCUGAUCAUUUGCCUUUUUUUGAUAGUCACAAUCACUUUUCUUUCGCUUCAUUUGUAAUCAAGACACAUUGUGUAUUCUCGAGUGUCACCAAAAUUGUGGCAUUCAUAAGUGUUCCAGGGGAAGCAUCUCAAGUAGAACCUUGUCUCGGAGACUAGAGGCUACGAGAGGCUUGACUCGCUCCAACUCUGGUUUGAUUGAAAUUCUUGGCAUGCAAUAAUCAAAAUACAAUAAACCAUCACCCAUUAAGUAUAUUUGUAGUCAGAAUAGGGUUUGUAGGCUUAUUACACACAAACUAUUAGCAACAUGGCAUUUUAACCAUGUGAUUGUACUGAUGCUGAACGUUGUCAUUCCGUGACACACUAUAUGACACAUCCUCCCACAUUUAAAAGCGUGCUAUUUUUGACGCAUAUUUCUCAACAUCACUCAUGUCUGAGUGCACAGUGUGGCCUUGUUGUGCAACUUUUAAGUACUGCUUCUGUCCAUGCACAGUUGAACGCAGGAAAAAGGUGGAGUCCUCAGACAGUUUGAGACACCUUUCUGCACAGGGGCUGUUUUGAUGAUGGAUGUGUCAUUGAAAAUGAGCGUGUUUAUUUUAACUAAAGUGUAGUGACUAGAAUACACACGUCUAAAUUUGGGUCCAAGGGUCUGUAGAUGAUGUAUAAUUGUAGUGAAAUGCAUUUUUCCUCUUUUGAAUAUUUUGAUGGCAAUGGAUUGACAGCAAAAAGCCCCCACAGGUUAUAGCUGUUAAAAUGCUUGCUUGGAGUGGCUGCCUCACUUCUAAAUAAUAUUAGUUUUUAUUUAUUUAUUUUUUUAUUCUUUACUGGAAGUGAGAAUCUGCAGAAGCAGGACUGUUUUAAAGUAUGAAUAAGUGAAUAAGUAAUACUCUCCCUACAGCAACCAUCAACACAGCAUGCGUGAGUGCGCCUAAAGCUGUCAGGCAGUGUUUCUGUAAACAUGUAAGUUCCACAACUCUUUCUUAGAUUGAUACAGGUAAAAGGGUCAGGUAGCCUAGUGUUUAUAAGGAGAGAUGGCCAAUCGGAUUCAAGCACCUGUGACUCUGUCCCCGCCCAGCCGUCAGCUCUUAGAAGAAGGUGGUAGGAUAAAGGAUCGGAGACCCCCACCACCUCGACCCCUCGGUCAGUGCAGCUGAAGAAUUGCGCACACGGGUCUGACCGGAGCUCAAUGCGCCGGGCAGAGUGUCUUUGAGGCAAAUGCGUUUUGAAAUGAUAAUAUGUAAGUCUUUUGUUUACCCUCAUUUCUGUGAAGUAUGGAGGAGAUAUAUGUAUAUAUAUAUAUUUUUCAUUCUGGCAUCUGAAGCACCAUUCACCCCCCUCCCCCGACUCCCCCCGGAUUAAAAUCUAGGGUUAACUAAUCUCGGUUAAUCUGAACUAAAUCUGUCUAAUCGGCAUAGAAAAUUACACUCACUGAGGUAUUGCCCGCAAAUAAUCAGCGGAGCCGGGCGCCGUAAGUUCUCCCUGAAGGGCAUUUGGACGUUGCACACCGUGCACGCGACAAUUUGUUACGCUCAGACUUUUUUUUUUUUUAAGAGAAAAACCCGUGUCGCAAUUGUGCAGGAAUUUUUCCUUUCUCUGCGUUACACAUUGUCUUGUUUUAUUAGGGGUGGACACGGAGGCUGGCACACAGAGCGCCAUGUGACGCUCCGCCACAAAGAUCAUUAUGCGGAGUUUUGAUUAAGAAUUUGGGGUUUUUGGCCCCUUCGUUAGUAGCCUAACUGAGGCGCAGGAGAGAGGAGGGAGAGCAGCAGAGAAAAGAGGGAGAGAGAGAGAGUUCGGGAUUUCGCUGUAAUCAUGUUUGGAGAGUAUUGAUUUCGUGAGCGCACUCCAAUUGGCAGCAUCUCUACUAUACAGCGCCGGCGCGUCAUCCUCGGUUCACAUCGACGGAACGAGUUGUAAGCAAAUGAGAACAUGUGUGGGAUCUGAGUGAGUGAGAAAAGGCAAGAGGAGGUGUGAUAAAAGCCAAUUUUAUCAUCCCGACGAGUGGAUACGAGAUUUGAUUGCCGGACUAUUUUUCCCUCCUUUAUAUUUUUCAGACAGGGAAUUUAUCGAUUCGUCACAAGCGCACGCCUCUUCAUUAUAAUUGCAGACAGUUGGGUGCUGUUCAGGCUGAAUGGACUUGAAUGUGGCGCUGCCAGCUUAAUCCGUGCAGACUGGAAGAUUUAAUAAUUCACGGUAAUCACGCAUUAUCGCCUCAGUGGAUGCUCUCUACACAGCCCUGGUGAUUUUCCCCCUCUUUCCCGUUUCUUCCUGUUGUCUUCUGGCGGAUUUAUCGACGGCUGCUUUUCUCCUUAUCUGAAAGAUCAUCUGUUGCUGCAACUGGAUUGAGAAGCCCCCAUGACUGACACGGGUUUGAGUGUUUUAAGGUGAUGCGGACUGCCAAAUAAAUAGUUCAGUCACCAUUAGAAAAUUUACUUCAGGUAAAAUGGACAAGAAAUUAUUAUUACUUUUAUUACUUCUGCUAUCUCUACACGCGAGGCUAUGAUUUUGCUUUCAUUCAUCAUGAUUCUUCUACUCCGCUGAAUUGCCCAUUAUUGAUUCAGACUGAGCUUAAUAGCCAUAUUACAAGGCAAAUUCCUACGUGAAGCGAUAUUGAAGACAGCGGGAUACGUGAAUCGUGGAGGUAUUUCCCCACCCUUGCUCUACGUUUGAUUUAUUC